AUGGGUUUCAGAGUAAGUGUAAGCAUAGAGCAUCCUGUCUCUGCCACUCCCUGCCUUGCCUGGGAAUGAUGGCUACCAAAAUGAAGACUGGACUACGAGGGUGAAAACCACUCCACAACACAUCUGAGAUUAGGACUAGAGAGUAAAUCAAAGGAUGACAGAAUGGAGAAAGGAUCUUAUGAACAAAUGUCAAAGAGUUGGAGAGAGAAAAUAUAAGUGUGUCUUGUCUUCACGUCACAUAAGAGGCAGGCCGGGGAGCCCUGUCAGGGACUGCUGGUAUUUGGCAGUGACAGUGGAAGCGCAGGAAGGAACAGAGCUCCAGAGCAAGCCAGCACGCUUUAAUCAGCUUCGGGUCCUGCAAGAGCCAAGAUUUACAGGGGCCUCACCCCCCCCAGGUAGAAGCAGAGCGACACAUUCAGCUUUGCUGCGAGGUUUUAUAGCGAUGUUAUCACUCAGAGCACAGAGACAUAAAUGCAGAGGGACUGGAAGACGAGAACAUAAUGUUUUCACACGCUAAGCUUAAUUUCAGCAUCGUUCCGUGCUCCUGGGGCUUCCUUAUGAAUGACUGUAAAACUCCAUUGUUUUCGAAAAUUAGUGGAUCACAAGGAAAAUUGCACAUUUGAUGAGUCUGGUGUAAUGGGUUGGUGUUCCGGUGGCCUCGCCUCACACCGGGGCGCACUUCAGCUGGCCCUAGUUUCAGAAAAACGAUCUGCA
Molecule: long non-coding RNA, 714 nt
Filed under: Cervus hanglu yarkandensis (Yarkand deer)
Lineage: Eukaryota; Metazoa; Chordata; Mammalia; Artiodactyla; Cervidae
Description: lncRNA (ENSCHYG00000000387.1)
Source: RNAcentral